This 381-nucleotide ribosomal RNA is filed under the name uncultured archaeon. RNAcentral's name for it is "bacterial SSU rRNA". It matches the Rfam family "Archaeal small subunit ribosomal RNA", at positions 473 to 853 of the family's 1478-position model. The record is from RNAcentral.
ACACCGGCAGCUCAAGUGGUGGCCGUUUUUAUUGGGCCUAAAGCGUUCGUAGCCGGCCUGAUAAGUCUCUGGUGAAAUCCCGCAGCUUAACUGUGGGAAUUGCUGGAGAUACUAUCAGGCUUGAGGUCGGGAGAGGUUAGAGGUACUCCCAGGGUAGGGGUGAAAUCCUAUAAUCCUGGGAGGACCACCUGUGGCGAAGGCGUCUAACUGGAACGAACCUGACGGUGAGUAACGAAAGCCAGGGGCGCGAACCGGAUGAGAUACACGGGUAGUCCUGGCCGUAAACGAUGUGGACUUGGUGUUGGGAUGGCCUCGAGCUGCCCCAGUGCCGAAGGGAAGGUGUUAAGUCCACCGCCUGGGAAGUACGGUCGCAAGACUGAA